CGGAGGUAAGAAAAAUAUAGGUAAAAUUCAAUCAUAGCAGAAUCCAUCAAUGUUGUAAACCGAUAAUAAGCCUUAGGAGGAUCCAUAAGUCCAACUAUCUGUAGUGACUGCGCAGUGAUUACGGUAAAAAGGAGCAACCACACAAUUCUGUCCAAGAUGUAUACUAUCAACUGGAAAAUGUGAAUUUGUAGUGUUCAGAAGAAAAGUUCGACGAGAAUUUACAUAUACAGGAAUAUAGGAAGAAAUAUCGGGUGAAAAGUCUUCUUUUUGGUCUCAGAUAGAGUUCUCUAUUGAGUACUGCCAAGCUUUCGGCCAUUUGCAUGGCCAUCCUCAGGG
This is a long non-coding RNA of Coccinella septempunctata (seven-spotted ladybird), 336 nucleotides long. RefSeq lists it as uncharacterized. NCBI's taxonomy places the organism in Eukaryota, Metazoa, Arthropoda, Insecta, Coleoptera, Coccinellidae. The transcript is spliced from 3 exons. The record is from RefSeq and is a predicted model, not a curated record.